AAAUUGAAGAGUUUGAUCAUGGCUCAGAUUGAACGCUGGCGGCAGGCCUAACACAUGCAAGUCGAACGGUAACAGGAAGCAGCUUGCUGCUUUGCUGACGAGUGGCGGACGGGUGAGUAAUGUCUGGGAAACUGCCUGAUGGAGGGGGAUAACUACUGGAAACGGUGGCUAAUACCGCAUAACGUCGCAAGACCAAAGAGGGGGACCUUCGGGCCUCUUGCCAUCAGAUGUGCCCAGAUGGGAUUAGCUUGUUGGUGAGGUAACGGCUCACCAAGGCGACGAUCCCUAGCUGGUCUGAGAGGAUGACCAGCCACACUGGAACUGAGACACGGUCCAGACUCCUACGGGAGGCAGCAGUGGGGAAUAUUGCACAAUGGGCGCAAGCCUGAUGCAGCCAUGCCGCGUGUAUGAAGAAGGCCUUCGGGUUGUAAAGUACUUUCAGCGGGGAGGAAGGUGUUGUGGUUAAUAACCACAGCAAUUGACGUUACCCGCAGAAGAAGCACCGGCUAACUCCGUGCCAGCAGCCGCGGUAAUACGGAGGGUGCAAGCGUUAAUCGGAAUUACUGGGCGUAAAGCGCACGCAGGCGGUCUGUCAAGUCGGAUGUGAAAUCCCCGGGCUCAACCUGGGAACUGCAUUCGAAACUGGCAGGCUUGAGUCUUGUAGAGGGGGGUAGAAUUCCAGGUGUAGCGGUGAAAUGCGUAGAGAUCUGGAGGAAUACCGGUGGCGAAGGCGGCCCCCUGGACAAAGACUGACGCUCAGGUGCGAAAGCGUGGGGAGCAAACAGGAUUAGAUACCCUGGUAGUCCACGCCGUAAACGAUGUCUACUUGGAGGUUGUGCCCUUGAGGCGUGGCUUCCGGAGCUAACGCGUUAAGUAGACCGCCUGGGGAGUACGGCCGCAAGGUUAAAACUCAAAUGAAUUGACGGGGGCCCGCACAAGCGGUGGAGCAUGUGGUUUAAUUCGAUGCAACGCGAAGAACCUUACCUGGUCUUGACAUCCACGGAAGUUUUCAGAGAUGAGAAUGUGCCUUCGGGAACCGUGAGACAGGUGCUGCAUGGCUGUCGUCAGCUCGUGUUGUGAAAUGUUGGGUUAAGUCCCGCAACGAGCGCAACCCUUAUCCUUUGUUGCCAGCGGUUAGGCCGGGAACUCAAAGGAGACUGCCAGUGAUAAACUGGAGGAAGGUGGGGAUGACGUCAAGUCAUCAUGGCCCUUACGACCAGGGCUACACACGUGCUACAAUGGCGCAUACAAAGAGAAGCGACCUCGCGAGAGCAAGCGGACCUCAUAAAGUGCGUCGUAGUCCGGAUUGGAGUCUGCAACUCGACUCCAUGAAGUCGGAAUCGCUAGUAAUCGUGGAUCAGAAUGCCACGGUGAAUACGUUCCCGGGCCUUGUACACACCGCCCGUCACACCAUGGGAGUGGGUUGCAAAAGAAGUAGGUAGCUUAACCUUCGGGAGGGCGCUUACCACUUUGUGAUUCAUGACUGGGGUGAAGUCGUAACAAGGUAACCGUAGGGGAACCUGCGGUUGGAUCACCUCCUUACCUUAAAGAAGC
This 1554-nucleotide ribosomal RNA is filed under the name Salmonella enterica subsp. enterica serovar Heidelberg. Its description in RNAcentral is "bacterial SSU rRNA". It matches the Rfam family "Bacterial small subunit ribosomal RNA". Lineage: Bacteria; Pseudomonadati; Pseudomonadota; Gammaproteobacteria; Enterobacterales; Enterobacteriaceae. The record is from RNAcentral. RNAcentral also lists the same sequence under 3 other names.